Molecule: ribosomal RNA, 1245 nt
Filed under: metagenome
Description: bacterial LSU rRNA
Rfam family: Bacterial large subunit ribosomal RNA
Source: RNAcentral
UGAAUACGAGAUGCUACGGCGUCGAAGCAGUCUAUGUCAUACUUCCAAGAAAAGCUUGCACUGUCAUAAACAAAUAAUGCCUGUACCAUAACCGACACAGGUGGGUAGGUAGAGUAUACUAAGGGGCGCGAGAUAACUCUCUCUAAGGAACUCGGCAAAAUGACUCCGUAACUUCGGGAGAAGGAGUGCCUUAUUUAUAAGGUUGCAAUAACAAGAUCCAAGCAACUGUUUACCAAAAACACAGGUCUCCGCUAAGUCGUAAGACGAUGUAUGGGGGCUGACGCCUGCCCAGUGCCAGAAGGUUAAAGAAGUUGGUUAGCAUCCGCGAAGCUGAUAACUGAAGCCCUGGUGAACGGCGGCCGUAACAAUAACGGUCCUAAGGUAGCGAAAUUCCUUGUCGGGUAAGUUCCGACCCGCACGAAAGGCGUAAUGAUUUGGAUACUGUCUCGGAGAGGGGCUCGGUGAAAUAGACUUGUCUGUGAAGAUGCGGACUACCUGCACCAGGACAGAAAGACCCUAUUAAGCUUUACUGUAACCUGAAAUUGAAAUUGGACUUUACUUGCGCAGUAUAGGUGGGAGGCGUUGAGAAUAUUCUUGCGGGAUUAUUGGAGCCAUCAGUGAGAUACCACUCUUGUAAUGUUAGAUUUCUAACUUUGUAUCAUUAUCUGGUCAAAGAACAGUUUCAGGCGGGCAGUUUGACUGGGGCGGUCGCCUCCUAAACGGUAACGGAGGCGCACAAAGGUUUCCUCUGAACGGGUAGAAAUCGUAUCUAGAGUGUAAAGGCAUAAGGAAGCUUGACUGUGAGACCUACAAGUCGAGCAGGGACGAAAGUCGGUCUUAGUGAUCUGACGGUGCUGAGUGGAAAGGCCGUCACUCAACGGAUAAAAGUUACUCUAAGGAUAACAGGCUGAUCUCCCCCAAGAGUUCACAUCGACGGGGAGGUUUGGCACCUCGAUGUCGGCUCAUCGCAUCCUGGGGCGGUAGUACGUCCCAAGGGUUGGGCUGUUCGCCCAUGAAAGCGGUACGCGAGCUGGGUUCAGAACGUCGUGAGACAGUUCGGUCCAUAUCCGGUGUAGGCGUUAGAAUAUUGAGAGGAGCCUUCUUUAGUACGAGAGGACCGAGAAGGACAUACCUCUGGUGUACCAGUUAUCGUGCCAACGGUAAACGCUGGGUAGCUAUGUGUGGAGUGGAUAACCGCUGAAAGCAUCUAAGUGGGAAGCCCACCUCAAGAUAAGUAUUCUCAUC